This 640-nucleotide unclassified non-coding RNA is filed under the name Hevea brasiliensis (rubber tree). The record is from RNAcentral. Lineage: Eukaryota; Viridiplantae; Streptophyta; Magnoliopsida; Malpighiales; Euphorbiaceae.
GUUCUAGUUCACUCUUCCAAGGAAAUUAAAUCUACAAUUCUCUCCAAGGAAGGAAUGAAAAAUUUUCAAGGAAGGAUGUAGGAAAGUAAAAAAUAAUACAAAGUAUUAGCGGGGAAAAAUUAUCACGCUCUACCAUGCAUGAAGUGACUCUGAAGUUAGUCACACGAACAGAGACUGGUGAUUUUAGUAUCAUAAGCUUAUUGAGUUUAGUACAUCUUGAUUCUCGGUUUCGUUCAUCUUGCAUUCAACUGAUGCUGCUUUCCAUUGUUCUUUGCCACCAAAUCAAUGAGAUUGCAAUAAGUCCACUUUUUCUUUUCUCUAGCAUUAGGGUCAAGAGAGGAGUAUGCUUCUUCACAUCUUCUGAGAAACUGGCCCUUUCCAAAUGCAGUGAGAACCAGAGGAUCCGUUUGCAUUUCCACACAUCUGUAAAGAAGGCCCAUCCUUCUCCAUGUCUCUAAGAUUCCUGUCCCGUGAAAGCCUAAGUCACAUGCAUCAAAUAGAAUUCCCACAGUGACUAUGUCAGGUUCCACAUGAAGGUUCGUUAACUUGGAGAGUAACAUCCUUAAGUGCGUGAAGUCUUUCAUCUUCAAGUAUGCUAGCAAAAUAAUGUUUGCAAAUGUUACAUUCCAAGAAACCUUUG